UACUCGGUAGAUAGUAUCCUAGGGUGUGC
RNAcentral lists this non-coding RNA (29 nucleotides) under Mus musculus (house mouse). Lineage: Eukaryota; Metazoa; Chordata; Mammalia; Rodentia; Muridae. The record is from RNAcentral.